Molecule: ribosomal RNA, 253 nt
Filed under: uncultured bacterium
Lineage: Bacteria
Description: partial 16S ribosomal RNA
Rfam family: Bacterial small subunit ribosomal RNA
Source: RNAcentral
UACAGAGGGUGCAAGCGUUAAUCGGAAUUACUGGGCGUAAAGCGUGCGUAGACGGUUGCGUAAGUCAGAUGUGAAAGCCCCGGGCUCAACCUGGGAAUUGCAUUUGAGACUGCGUAGCUAGGGUGCGGAAGAGGGAAGCGGAAUUUCCGGUGUAGCGGUGAAAUGCGUAGAUAUCGGAAGGAACACCAGUGGCGAAAGCGGCUUCCUGGUCCAGCACCGACGUUCAGGCACGAAAGCGUGGGGAGCGAACCGG